AAAAAAAGGCGGUAGGCAUGAUUCUUAGGCAAAUCCGGGAAUCUCUAUGCCGAGCACCGAGACGAGUCCUAUGAGGACGAAGUGACUGACACCACGCUUCCAGGAAAAGCCACUAAGCUUCAGCUGUAGAAAAACCGUACCGCAAACCGACACAGGUAGGCAGGGUGAGAAUCCCAAGGCGCUUGAGAGAACUCGGGUGAAGGAACUAGGCAAAAUGGCACCGUAACUUCGGGAGAAGGUGCGCCUCUUGGUGUGGUCACGUGCGUGACUGAGCAUCGAGGGGUCGCAGUAACCUGGCCGCUGCGACUGUUUAUCAAAAACACAGCACUCUGCAAACACGAAAGUGGACGUAUAGGGUGUGACGCCUGCCCGGUGCUGGAAGGUUAAUUGAUGGGGUCAGCCGCAAGGCGAAGCUCUUGAUCGAAGCCCCAGUAAACGGCGGCCGUAACGAUAACGGUCCUAAGGUAGCGAAAUUCCUUGUCGGGUAAGUUCCGACCUGCACGAAUGGCGUAACGACAGCGGCGCUGUCUCCACCCGAGACUCAGUGAAAUUGAAAUCGCUGUGAAGAUGCAGCGUUCCCGCGGCAAGACGGAAAGACCCCGUGAACCUUUACUAUAGCUUUACACUGAACGUUGAGUUCUUCUGUGUAGGAUAGGUGGGAGGCUAUGAAACCAGGACGCUAGUUCUGGUGGAGCCAUCCUUGAAAUACCACCCUGAAGUGCUUGACGUUCUAACCUAGGUCCGUAAUCCGGAUCGGGGACCGUGUAUGGUGGGUAGUUUGACUGGGGCGGUCUCCUCCCAAAGAGUAACGGAGGAGCACGAAGGUACGCUCAGCGCGGUCGGACAUCGCGCACUGUGUGCAAAGGCAUAAGCGUGCUUGACUGCGAGAUCGACGGAUCAAGCAGGUACGAAAGUAGGUCUUAGUGAUCCGGUGGUUCUGUAUGGAAGGGCCAUCGCUCAACGGAUAAAAGGUACUCCGGGGAUAACAGGCUGAUACCGCCCAAGAGUUCAUAUCGACGGCGGUGUUUGGCACCUCGAUGUCGGCUCAUCACAUCCUGGGGCUGUAGCCGGUCCCAAGGGUAUGGCUGUUCGCCAUUUAAAGUGGUACGCGAGCUGGGUUCAGAACGUCGUGAGACAGUUCGGUCCCUAUCUGUCGUGGGCGUUGGAGAUUUGAGGGGGGCUGCUCCUAGUACGAGAGGACCGGAGUGGACGUUCCGCUGGUGUUCGGGUUGUCAUGCCCAUGGCAUUGCCCGGUAGCUACGAACGGAAGUGAUAACCGCUGAAAGCAUCUAAGCGGGAAGCACGCCCCAAGAUGAGAUCUCCCGAGAGCUUGACUCUCCUAAAGGCACCAUCAAGACUAGGUGGUUGAUAGGCACGGUGUGGAAGUGCAGCAAUGCAUUGAGCUUACGUGUACUAAUGAGCCGUGAGGCUUGAACAA
This 1438-nucleotide ribosomal RNA is filed under the name metagenome. Its description in RNAcentral is "bacterial LSU rRNA". It matches the Rfam family "Bacterial large subunit ribosomal RNA", at positions 1509 to 2925 of the family's 2925-position model. The record is from RNAcentral.